This 597-nucleotide long non-coding RNA is filed under the name Salvia miltiorrhiza (redroot sage). Its description in RNAcentral is "long non-coding RNA (SMIL_LNC011435)". Lineage: Eukaryota; Viridiplantae; Streptophyta; Magnoliopsida; Lamiales; Lamiaceae. The record is from RNAcentral.
GGGGCCAAUUUUUAUUGUGAGUAGGUGGUAUAAUUAGGUACACUUACAAAAAAGAAAAUGGAUACUUAUUUGGUAUACGGACUAAAAAGGAAAUAUAAGUACUCAUUUCGUGGACGAAGGAAGUAUAAGUUAUUUUGUUAAUUAUUUUUAAUUAAUAUAAAAAUAAACUAGAACAAAACGUAGCAAACUUAAUGUUGGUAAUACUAAAAAGAAAGCAGAACAAAAGAAAUUAUUUAAGGCAUAACAAAAAUUAUUUAAAGCAAAACCUAAUUGUGUGUUUGAAAAACAGAAGUAACAAAAUAAAAAUGGUUUAAAACAAAAUGCAUCAAAAAUAAAAAGCAAAACUAAAGAAAUGAAAAGGAAAGAAAAAAAAAAGAACACAAAGAAAGAAAUGGGUAAAAGAAAAAAAUAUAAAAAAUAAUUUCAAAUACUUCCAAAUUUUAAAGGUGGUGCUGCCACUUAUCCUCUCUUCUCUAUCUUUCUCCCCAAUAUAAAAAAUAAAAAUAGACAAGAGUAGCCAAAUUCAUAUAGUGUAUAAUGAUACAAUCCAAAAUACUUAUUGAAUUGAUUCGCAAUCGUAUAAGGUCAUUGUAGGCG